AUUGAACGCUGGCGGCAUGCCUUACACAUGCAAGUCGAACGGUAACAGGUCUUCGGAUGCUGACGAGUGGCGAACGGGUGAGUAAUACAUCGGAACGUGCCUAGUAGUGGGGGAUAACUACUCGAAAGAGAGGCUAAUACCGCAUGAGAUCUACGGAUGAAAGCAGGGGAUCGCAAGACCUUGUGCUACUAGAGCGGCGGAUGGCAGAUUAGGUAGUUGGUGGGAUAAAAGCGUACCAAGCCGACGAUCUGUAGCUGGUCUGAGAGGACGAUCAGCCACACUGGGACUGAGACACGGCCCAGACUCCUACGGGAGGCAGCAGUGGGGAAUUUUGGACAAUGGGCGCAAGCCUGAUCCAGCAAUGCCGCGUGCAGGAUGAAGGCCUUCGGGUUGUAAACUGCUUUUGUACGGAACGAAAAGCCCUGGGUUAAUACCCUGGGGUCAUGACGGUACCGUAAGAAUAAGCACCGGCUAACUACGUGCCAGCCGCCGCCGUAA
This 498-nucleotide ribosomal RNA is filed under the name uncultured bacterium. Its description in RNAcentral is "partial 16S ribosomal RNA". It matches the Rfam family "Bacterial small subunit ribosomal RNA", at positions 30 to 523 of the family's 1533-position model. The record is from RNAcentral.